RNAcentral lists this ribosomal RNA (487 nucleotides) under Burkholderia ubonensis. Its description in RNAcentral is "bacterial LSU rRNA". It matches the Rfam family "Bacterial large subunit ribosomal RNA", at positions 2450 to 2925 of the family's 2925-position model. Lineage: Bacteria; Pseudomonadati; Pseudomonadota; Betaproteobacteria; Burkholderiales; Burkholderiaceae. The record is from RNAcentral.
CAACGGAUAAAAGGUACUCUGGGGAUAACAGGCUGAUACCGCCCAAGAGUUCAUAUCGACGGCGGUGUUUGGCACCUCGAUGUCGGCUCAUCUCAUCCUGGGGCUGUAGCCGGUCCCAAGGGUAUGGCUGUUCGCCAUUUAAAGAGGUACGUGAGCUGGGUUUAAAACGUCGUGAGACAGUUUGGUCCCUAUCUGCCGUGGGCGUUGGAUAUUUGAAGGGGGCUGCUCCUAGUACGAGAGGACCGGAGUGGACGAACCUCUGGUGUACCGGUUGUGACGCCAGUCGCAUCGCCGGGUAGCUAUGUUCGGAAGAGAUAACCGCUGAAAGCAUCUAAGCGGGAAACUCGCCUUAAGAUGAGAUAUCCCUGGGGACUUGAUCCCCUUGAAGGGUCGUUCGAGACCAGGACGUUGAUAGGUCAGGUGUGUAAGCGCAGUAAUGCGUUCAGCUAACUGAUACUAAUUGCCCGUAAGGCUUGAUCCUAUAACA